CCUACGAGCUGCAGCAGUGGGGAAUAUUGCACAAUGGGCGCAAGCCUGAUGCAGCCAUGCCGCGUGUAUGAAGAAGGCCUUCGGGUUGUAAAGUACUUUCAGCGGGGAGGAAGGUGUUGUGGUUAAUAACCGCAGCAAUUGACGUUACCCGCAGAAGAAGCACCGGCUAACUCCGUGCCAGCAGCCGCGGUAAUACGGAGGGUGCAAGCGUUAAUCGGAAUUACUGGGCGUAAAGCGCACGCAGGCGGUCUGUCAAGUCGGAUGUGAAAUCCCCGGGCUCAACCUGGGAACUGCAUUCGAAACUGGCAGGCUAGAGUCUUGUAGAGGGGGGUAGAAUUCCAGGUGUAGCGGUGAAAUGCGUAGAUAUCUGGAGGAACACCGGUGGCGAAGGCGGCAUCCUGGACCGGCAUUGACGCUGAGGCGCGAAAGCUAGGGGAGCAAACGGGAUUAGAUACCCUAGUAGUC
RNAcentral lists this ribosomal RNA (465 nucleotides) under uncultured bacterium. RNAcentral describes it as "bacterial SSU rRNA". It matches the Rfam family "Bacterial small subunit ribosomal RNA", at positions 338 to 795 of the family's 1533-position model. The record is from RNAcentral.